This 433-nucleotide ribosomal RNA is filed under the name uncultured bacterium. Its description in RNAcentral is "bacterial SSU rRNA". It matches the Rfam family "Bacterial small subunit ribosomal RNA", at positions 29 to 507 of the family's 1533-position model. The record is from RNAcentral.
AACGAACGCUGGCGGCAGGCCUAACACAUGCAAGUCGAGCGAAUCCUUCGGGGUUAGCGGCGGACGGGUUAGUAACGCGUGGGAACGUGCCCAAAGGUACGGAAUAGCCCCGGGAAACUGGGAGUAAUACCGUAUGUGCUCUACGGAGGAAAGAUUUAUCGCCUUUGGAUCGGCCCGCGUUGGAUUAGGUAGUUGGUGGGGUAAUGGCCCACCAAGCCGACGAUCCAUAGCUGGUUUGAGAGGAUGAUCAGCAACACUGGGACUGAGACACGGCCCAGACUCCUACGGGAGGCGGCAGUGGGGAAUCUUAGACAAUGGGGGAAACCCUGAUCUAGCCAUGCCGCGUGAGCGAUGAAGGCCUUAGGGUUGUAAAGCUCUUUCAGCUGGGAAGAUAAUGACGGUACCAGCAGAAGAAGCCCCGGCUAACUCCGUG